GCCAUCAUUAUUAUUUUUAUUGAGGGCACCCUCUUUUUGACUGACAGAGAGAGAAGCGGGGGUGGAAGAACUCCCUGAGGGCCCCCGAAAGUCAUUGACAUCAUUGCCCUCAGCCCGCAGGGACACAGGGACACCGGUGCCCCUCACGGGAGCAUCCCAGCGAGGCCAAGGCCCGAAGCCUGGUACAGCCCCUCGGCUGGAGACAGAACGUCGGCACUGUUAGUGUGGCCCCCAGACACUUCAAUGCGAUCAGUUCAAACCUCGUGGGACCUCAGCACCAACAGCCUCUUCCAGCAAACAGCUCCGCAGCCAACUCAGCCUGGUGAUUAUUGCCUGACUGCUGGGGCAGACGGAGGUCCUACCGCUCUGGAAGGAAAAUGCCCAGCUGUCCCUGCUCUGCCACCUCCUAGAGCUGAUGAAGCCCUCCUUGCUUGGGCAGCAUGUAGUUGCCAGCUGUGCAUCUUGGAGAAGCCCAAGGUCACAGCCAGAAGUCAGGGGCACCCUGGACCAAGAGGUAAGGACCCGACACCCUCCGCAUCUCCCAUUCCCUCAACGGACAG
This 560-nucleotide long non-coding RNA is filed under the name Ornithorhynchus anatinus (platypus). Its description in RNAcentral is "lncRNA (ENSOANG00000035015.2)". The record is from RNAcentral. Lineage: Eukaryota; Metazoa; Chordata; Mammalia; Monotremata; Ornithorhynchidae.